GCCGGGAUGGUCUAAUCGGUUAAGGCGUCGCCCCGGACAGAUGAAGGGUGCGGGUUCGAUCCCCGCUCCUGGCC
Molecule: non-coding RNA, 74 nt
Organism: Ixodes scapularis (black-legged tick)
Lineage: Eukaryota; Metazoa; Arthropoda; Arachnida; Ixodida; Ixodidae
Source: Rfam